RNAcentral lists this ribosomal RNA (1550 nucleotides) under uncultured bacterium. Its description in RNAcentral is "16S ribosomal RNA". It matches the Rfam family "Bacterial small subunit ribosomal RNA". The record is from RNAcentral.
UUCGCCCUUAGAGUUUGAUCCUGGCUCAGGACGAACGCUGGCGGCAUGCCUAACACAUGCAAGUCGAACGGAGUURUUAUUCAGAAGUUCUUCGGGAUGGAAGGAUAAGAACUUAGUGGCGGACGGGUGAGUAACGCGUGGGUAACCUGCCCUUUUGUGGGGAACAACUUCGAGAAAUCGGAGCUAAUACCGCAUAAUAAUAGAGGAUCGCAUGAUUCUUUAAGGAAAGAUGGCCUCUGAAGAUGCUAUCGCAAAAGGAUGGACCCGCGUCUGAUUAGCUAGUUGGAAGGGUAACGGCCUACCAAGGCAACGAUCAGUAGCCGGCCUGAGAGGGUGAACGGCCACAUUGGGACUGAGACACGGCCCAAACUCCUACGGGAGGCAGCAGUGGGGAAUCUUCCGCAAUGGGCGAAAGCCUGACGGAGCAAUGCCGCGUGAGUGAAGAAGGCCUUCGGGUUGUAAAACUCUGUCCUUAUCGAAGAGAGGUAGGUAUGUGAAUAAUGUACCUAUAGGACGGUAGAUAAGGAGGAAGCCCCGGCUAACUACGUGCCAGCAGCCGCGGUAAUACGUAGGGGGCGAGCGUUGUCCGGAAUCACUGGGCGUAAAGGGCGCGUAGGCGGUUUAAUAAGUCAGUGGUGAAAACUGAGGGCUCAACCCUCAGCCUGCCACUGAUACUGUUAGACUUGAGUAUGGAAGAGGAGAAUGGAAUUCCUAGUGUAGCGGUGAAAUGCGUAGAUAUUAGGAGGAACACCAGUGGCGAAGGCGAUUCUCUGGGCCAAGACUGACGCUGAGGCGCGAAAGCGUGGGGAGCAAACAGGAUUAGAUACCCUGGUAGUCCACGCCGUAAACGAUGGAUACUAGGUGUUAGUAGUUUCGAUGCUACUAGUGCCGGAGUAAACACAAUAAGUAUCCCGCCUGGGGAGUACGGUCGCAAGACUGAAACUCAAAGGAAUUGACGGGGGCCCGCACAAGCGGUGGAGCAUGUGGUUUAAUUCGACGCAACGCGAAGAACCUUACCAAGACUUGACAUCCUCCUGACAAGAUAUGUAAUGUAUCUCUUUUCUUCGGAGACAGGAGAGACAGGUGGUGCAUGGUUGUCGUCAGCUCGUGUCGUGAGAUGUUGGGUUAAGUCCCGCAACGAGCGCAACCCUUAUUUCUAGUUGCCAGCAGUAAGAUGGGGACUCUAGAGAGACUGCCAGUGACAAACUGGAGGAAGGUGGGGAUGACGUCAAAUCAUCAUGCCCCUUAUGUCUUGGGCUACACACGUGCUACAAUGGUCAGAACAGAGGGAAGCGAAGCCGCGAGGUGGAGCAAAUCCCAGAAAACUGAUCUCAGUUCGGAUUGCAGGCUGCAACCCGCCUGCAUGAAGUCGGAAUCGCUAGUAAUCGCGGGUCAGCAUACCGCGGUGAAUACGUUCCCGGGCCUUGUACACACCGCCCGUCACACCACGAAAGUUAGUAACACCCGAAGCCGGUGGCCUAACCCGCAAGGGAGGGAGCUGUCGAAGGUGGGACUGAUGAUUGGGGUGAAGUCGUAACAAGGUARCCGUA